This 387-nucleotide ribosomal RNA is filed under the name uncultured bacterium. Its description in RNAcentral is "bacterial SSU rRNA". It matches the Rfam family "Bacterial small subunit ribosomal RNA", at positions 30 to 419 of the family's 1533-position model. The record is from RNAcentral.
AUUGAACGCUGGCGGCAUGCCUUACACAUGCAAGUCGAACGGCAGCGGACCUUCGGGUGCCGGCGAGUGGCGAACGGGUGAGUAAUAUAUCGGAACGUACCUUUCAGUGGGGGAUAACGUAGCGAAAGUUACGCUAAUACCGCAUAUUCUGUGAGCAGGAAAGCAGGGGAUCGCAAGACCUUGCGCCGAUUGAGCGGCCGAUAUCAGAUUAGCUAGUUGGUGAGGUAAAGGCUCACCAAGGCGACGAUCUGUAGCGGGUCUGAGAGGAUGAUCCGCCACACUGGAACUGAGACACGGUCCAGACUCCUACGGGAGGCAGCAGUGGGGAAUUUUGGACAAUGGGCGCAAGCCUGAUCCAGCCAUGCCGCGUGAGUGAAGAAGGCCUGG